AAGCUCGUAGUUGAAUUUCGGGGUUAGUAGGUUGGUCAUGCCUCUGGUAUGUACUGGUCUCACUGAUUCCUCCUUCCUUAUGAACCGUAAUGCCAUUAAUUUGGUGUUGCGGGGAAUUUGGACUGUUACUUUGAAAAAAUUAGAGUGUUUAAAGCAAGCUAACGCUUGAAUACAUUAGCAUGGAAUAAUGAAAUAGGACGUUCGAUCUUAUUUUGUUUGGUUUUCUUAGGAUUGACGUAAUGAUUAAUAGGGAUAGUGGG
Molecule: ribosomal RNA, 260 nt
Filed under: uncultured Glomus
Lineage: Eukaryota; Fungi; Glomeromycota; Glomeromycetes; Glomerales; Glomeraceae
Description: partial 18S ribosomal RNA
Rfam family: Eukaryotic small subunit ribosomal RNA
Source: RNAcentral